GUGUCAGCCGCCGCGGUAAUACGGAGGGUGCGAGCGUUGUUCGGAAUUAUUGGGCGUAAAGCGCACGUAGGCGGCCCGUUAAGUCUCAUGGUGAAAGGCCGGGGCUCAACCCCGAGCAUGCCGGGGAUACUGGGGGGCUGGAGACAGGUAGAGGCCAGCGGAAUUCCGGGUGUAGCGGUGGAAUGCGUAGAGAUCCGGAAGAACACCGGAGGCGAAGGCGGCUGGCUGGACCUGAUCUGACGCUGAGGUGCGAAAGCGUGGGGAGCGAACAGGAUUAGAUACCCCCGUAGUCC
RNAcentral lists this ribosomal RNA (293 nucleotides) under uncultured bacterium. RNAcentral describes it as "partial 16S ribosomal RNA". It matches the Rfam family "Bacterial small subunit ribosomal RNA", at positions 505 to 796 of the family's 1533-position model. The record is from RNAcentral.